GUUCCGCGGCAAAAAUAAGGAAGUAAGCGCUAGACAGGGCCUCGUUAGUUUGUUUUUAGACAAGAUGCACAACGGAUACUGUAUGUUGUGUGAUCCAAAUUGUUCAGUUAUUCGUUUUAUUUCGCCCUAGGCUGCACAAUUUAGAGUACCGCGUGGCUUUUUCUUUUCGAAACCUUUAGGUGCUCAAGUUGUAUUAUAUUAUAACUUACAUUUUUUUAACUUAUAAUUGUUGUUUUUUAAGUGUUUUCCAUGCAUGUGAAAGUACUUGAAUUUUUUUAAUGAAUAAAUAUAUUUUAAAAGUAUAAAUUUAAUUAUAUUUUAUAUAAUUUAUAUAUUUAAAUAUAUAUUGAUUAACGUAUAUAUUUUCUGUGUGAGUUUUUUCUUCUUCCUUAUAUUCAGCUCAAAAGCUACAAUACGACCAAAGAUCAAUCCUAAUCAUUUCCCUCAUCUAUGGAGCUAAUUUGGAAAGAGGCUGAUGGAAGUACACAGACAGGAUGUCUCAAAGACAGGGAGACCAGAAAAAAGAACAUAUCCUAACUUUCAUCUCAUGCCAGAUUCAUAGGUCAUACCUGAGAAGGACAUCAAGGCUUUGGGGAGCUUUUAUGAGACACACUGAAGCAAUCAGCAGGGAAAUCCCUCAAGCUUUUCAGCAGUUACCUGAUGUAGGGCCAAAGAACAUGUGUCCAAAUGAACAAAAGCUUCUAUGGACCCCCAGUGUUUGAUUUAGUUGGGGGUUUGGCGCCAUGGCAUCUUUGGUUCUGGGGCUGGACUCCGCUUCGUCCAGGGUGAAAGCUGAUCUGGCAAUCCACAGUGCAAAGUUAAUGUAUUUCCUCAUCGACCAGCACGGAUCAGCUCUAGGCAUGAUGAAGCGAAUAUCCUCUUCUUUUGAGAAACAACAUCUAAAUGACCACAGUGGCUCUCUAAACAAUGCAUGGAGUCAUUCCCAUGGCCGAUGGAGGUUAAAGGCAGUCAUCUGAGGUCAGGCUUUUCUCAAGGGAAUGCAUCUAUCUCUGCCUCUGUCCAUGUGCCAAAGGUGGCAGCUAGAUAUCUCUGCCUCAUAGGGCAGAUGAGGUCUCUCAAUAUAGCACCAUUUGUGCCAGGCUAGAAGAGCCUGGGGUGAGACAGCAAGAAUGUCUCAAUCUAUUCAAAUCAUUUCAAAAUGACACGUCAGGAUGGUUAUGAUAGUUUGAGUUUUUAUAGGAAUAUUGCUGCUUUCACCCUAAUAACAGCUCUGGAUGCACAUGUUUGUGGCGCUAUCGCUUUUGCUUAGCCGCUCAGCUAUGGUAUGCAGCGGUCUGGCGGCCUUGUGUACUGAAAGCACAUGAACUCGCCCACCUUGUGAUCUCAAACAUUUGGGUAUGAGAAAAUAAAAAGCAUACCACAACAGCUUAAUUGGUUGUGUAUAAUGAGAGACAUGUGCCAAGCAUGUGUUUUGGCCUGACCACUCACUUCAAUGAGCACCCACAUGUAGGAUCUUAUAAUCAGUUUAUCUUUUUAAAAUGUAAGAGCAUGUGCAGCCAUUUGUAACUGUGCAAGGCCUCCUUUGUCAUUCGCUUACUGUUAUUUUUAGCUUUUUAUGCUGCUUAAUUUUGAAAACUAAUACUUCAGUCAUUACAUGAUUUUCAGUCAGUAGUUUGUCAAACACAUUUUAAUAAUGAGCAAUAUAAAUGUAAAUGUAAAUAUAAGUGUAAAAAAUGUCAAUCGUUUGUUAAACUAAAAGAAAUACAAUGAAGAAAAAAUGCUGCUGAGUAAAGUACAGAGACCUGUUCUGCUGAACCCUGAAGUGUAAGACAACAGCAGAUCUAGACAGGUGGUGCUGGGGAGGAGGAGGACUAGAGACACAACUGAGCUUCCUCUUGGCGAACCAGAAAAUAAAACUUAGCGUAGAUAGAAAGAAGCUAUUGAUUAGCUACAGAACUGGCAACUAGACAGCCUAUCAGCAUGAAAUCAUCCAUAAAAUCAUGGAGAUCCAUAAUGCAUUGUAUAAAUAGAUUCAGAUUUGAGACUCACAAUUUGCACAAUUUGUGGCUUCUUCCAUCUGCUGCAUCCUUCUCUCUGGCCUGGGCGCUUGAAGGGACUAUCCUGGCCUGACAGCUGUAUAACAGGUGCUGCUCUCGUCUGGACUGCGGGUCCGGCAACUCAUGUCUCUGGCCGCAUAGGAGUCCCUCUAUGCACCCUUCCUGGACCCACAAGGACACCAGCGUCCAUGCACGGUGAAGAGACUGGUCUCCCGCAGAAAGGCGCACUCAGCAUUUAAACAGCGGCGGUGAUGAGGCUCCAUUUGCAUCAGGUGUGCCUCAUCACAGGCCCUGGUUAUUUUAGCGCCCCUCCUCUCUCACGCACCCACUCCUGUCGGGAGCCUGGUGAAGGGGGGCAAUUAAGGGAUGGGAUGGUGAUGAUAAUUAUGGGGGAGGCAACCAACUUGUAACAACCCCCCCCCCACACACACACACACAAGUGAUAUCCCCUUCAUCAGGUCGCCACCCAUAUGGGAGUGCUACCUUCCUCAACCAUGUUCCAAACGGUCGGAGUGUGCGGGGCAGGGGUUUCCUCUCUGGGCAGUUCUCCCUCUCUCACCACGCCAGAAUAGGGACUGAGAAACUGGGUUUUAGGCAACAGCCUCAACCAACCACAGGGUAAAAUCCCAAUGGAAGACACAUCACUAACCCCUAUUGUGGCUGGGAGGCCAUCUCCAUCGUUCCUCUGUUCCAGUCAAGGUUUUCGCUAACUUUUGCGAGCGAGAGGGAAUGACGUCAUCAGGUGUUGCCCAACUGUGCUGUCUAGGCUCCCCCUUGCCCGCAUUCUCCACCACUGUGGCGGGAGAAGCAAACGACAUACACAGUGGGGGUGGCACCAGGCCUCGGAAAGGCUUUUAUUAACGGAAAAUAACAAAACAAAAAAAGAGAAAUAAAGUGUCCGUAAGGGAAGAGUGUCCAAAAUAAACAGGGAAUCUGGUGUCCUCGUCGUGCUGCGGGGUAGUGUUCAAGAUGGAAGGGUCCAGAUAAGGGGCGCAUUCCGGUGGCCACACGUGUUCCCCUCUUUGGUCUGGGGUGUGAGGGACGGCAGAUUCUUCCAGCAGCUGCAUCAUGCUCGCUGGCUGCUGCACUUUAAGGAAGUAGACGGCCCAGCAUCCUGGCCCGACGGCCGUGUAAUGGGUGCGGUUCUCGUCCGGACAGCGGGUCCAGCAGCUCACGUUUCUGGUGGUGCAGGAGUCCCUCUACGCACCCUUCUGGACCCAUGAGGACACCAGCGUGCAUGCAUGGGGAAGAGACUGGUCUCCAGAGGAGAGGCGCGCUAGGCAUUUAAACACGCCGCCAGCCCAGGCUCUUACAGCGCCCCUCCUCUCGCAUACACCCACUCCUGUCGGGAGCCUGGUGAAGGGUGGACGAAGGGUGGCGAAGGGGGACAGGGUGAUGAUUAUAAUUAGGGGGAAGGAGCCGACUCGUCACAUAUGGCUUUGCAUCUCUUUUGCUUCUUAUGAUUGUCGCAUUUCAGCAUAAGCUCCUCCAGCAACAAAGUAUGUAGGUCUACUACUGUACUUGAUUUCCUUUAUUGUUUGGAUCAGUGAGCAUUGCUGCCUGUGAAAAAAAUAAUAUUGGGAUUAAGCUUGUUAAGGGCCAGAAAAAUUGGAUUUACACGAACCAACUGAGUAAACAAAGUCAUUUUCUUAUAACUUAUAUAGCCUGUUUAUUGUUUUACUGCUCAAGUCCCAAUUAAGAUUUAAUGAAAUUGCCAGGCUUUCUUCAUCUUCUUCUAAUGACAUGGUUUGAAAAUACAGGAGAGCUUACCAGUUUUGUUUUGGGGAAAUUAUAUCCAGGCUUUUACGCUAACAAUGAUAGAAUUAGUGCUGAAUGACUACCACUUCGUUGGGUGAUGUGAGCACAGGAUGUGUGCACUGACAGAUCUGAGCGGACACACAUGCCUUGAGGCUUGCAGGAAAUGCUGGCUAUUGGUCAAAUGUUACUGACAUCAUCACAUACGAGAGAUGUGUCAAAACAAGUGGACUACGUCCUCAUUGACCUCCUUCCUUUAAGUAGAGAACCAGAUGCGACUAUUUCAAAUAUUUAUUUGAGGAUCUGUCAGGGUCGCCACUUAAUGGGGAAGGAAGAAAUAUCAGCAUUGUAUUUCUGUCUUUUCCCAGACAUGAACAUCUGCCAUUAAGAGAGAUGAAUGAAGUGCAUAAAGAACUUUUUUUAAAGACACAAAUCUCAUACCCAAAAAAUUAGAAUC
This is a long non-coding RNA of Carassius gibelio (silver crucian carp), 4230 nucleotides long. RefSeq lists it as uncharacterized. The record is from RefSeq and is a predicted model, not a curated record. NCBI's taxonomy places the organism in Eukaryota, Metazoa, Chordata, Actinopteri, Cypriniformes, Cyprinidae. The transcript is spliced from 5 exons.